This 230-nucleotide unclassified non-coding RNA is filed under the name plant metagenome. RNAcentral describes it as "partial contains small subunit ribosomal RNA, internal transcribed spacer 1, and 5.8S ribosomal RNA". The record is from RNAcentral.
UCUCCGUAGGUGAACCUGCGGAGGGAUCAUUACCGAGCUCAUGCCCUACCGGGUAGAUCUCCCACCCUGUGUUAUUAUUACCUUUGUUGCUUUGGCAGGCCGUCUCGCCCCGGCCAGGCUACCGGCUCCGGCUGGUAAGCGCCCGCCAGAGGACCCCAAACCCUGAAUGUCAGUGUCGUCUGAGUACUAUACAAUAGUUAAAACUUUCAACAACGGAUCUCUUGGUUCUG